AACGCGAAGAACCUUACCUGGUCUUGACAUCCACGGAAGUUUUCAGAGAUGAGAAUGUGCCUUCGGGAACUGUGAGACAGGUGCUGCAUGGCUGUCGUCAGCUCGUGUUGUGAAAUGUUGGGUUAAGUCCCGCAACGAGCGCAACCCUUAUCCUUUGUUGCCAGCGGUCCGGCCGGGAACUCAAAGGAGACUGCCAGUGAUAAACUGGAGGAAGGUGGGGAUGACGUCAAGUCAUCAUGGCCCUUACGACCAGGGCUACACACGUGCUACAAUGGCGCAUACAAAGAGAAGCGACCUCGCGAGAGCAAGCGGACCUCAUAAAGUGCGUCGUAGUCCGGAUUGGAGUCUGCAACUCGACUCCAUGAAGUCGGAAUCGCUAGUAAUC
RNAcentral lists this ribosomal RNA (385 nucleotides) under bacterium enrichment culture DGGE gel band N6. RNAcentral's name for it is "bacterial SSU rRNA". It matches the Rfam family "Bacterial small subunit ribosomal RNA", at positions 958 to 1343 of the family's 1533-position model. The record is from RNAcentral.